AUUAGGAUCUAAAUUUGGAAAACACUAAAGUGAACACAGUUCACACUACGCACAAAUCAAACGUGCUUCUCCUUCAACAGUGUGGUCACAGACUCUCUCACAGCCAGUCUCCGUCGCAGGCCGUCGCCGCCGGAAUCUUCCAGAUCAACACUUCCGUCGCCACUUUCCGCUGCCUCGUUGAUUCUCUUGGAACCGUUAAAGACACUCCCCACCACCGCCAGAAGCUGUACGCUUAAGUCAUUGAGUGAAUUUGAUCGCGAUGCUUCUAAUGCUAAUAGAUUAGUUCAACAUCAACUAACCCAACACCCCACUUCGGAGGAAUUGAGCAUUGGGAAGAUCAAGUUCAAAGCUUUCGAUUUGGUUAUCAAGUUUACUAUUACAAGUUUGCGGUUAUCUUGUUCAUGGUCAACUUUUGUCAUAAGCCUAUCAAAACCAAAGGUGCAUAAAGUUACUUUAUCAGCAAUACCAAAGUUCUGAGGAAGCAAGUGAAGCUGAUACGCAAGAUGUUCAAGCCACCAACAUUAAUACCGAUCUUCAUGGCAUGGGCUUUUUUCUGCAAGCAACCGGUCGCAGAACAAAUACAAGAUCUGAACUUGAUAGAUAUUUACAAGAAGAAUGCGAGCCAUACUCCCAUAAGUUCGAUAUACUAAACUGGUGGAAGGUCAACUCAACCCGAUUUCCAAUUCUUGGAAAUAUGGCUCGUGAGGUAUUGGCUAUACCUGUUUCUACGGUAGCUUCGGAGUCUGCAUUUAGUACUAGAAGAAGAGUCCUCGAUCCAUACCGUAGUUCCUUAACACCUAGAAUGGUAGAAGCUUAGUCUACACAGGAGAUUAGCUUAAGGAAGAUCUUUUCUCUGCUUUAGAUGAUGAUGGUGAAGUUCUUCAACAAGUUGAUCAAGAUCUAUUUUUCUCUAAUGAUGGUGCUUGUUCUAUGGUAGCAUCAAUUGAUAAUCAAGAUAAUCUUGAUGAUGACUAGGUAUGCUUAAUAUUCUCAUUUGGUUUAAUACUUUCAUUCAAAGAUUUGUUUUAAAAUGACAAAGGUAUAUUUUGUUAUUUGCAGAUAUAUUUUCCUCAAAGGUUGUGGUUGUUUGAUGAUUUUGUCGGCAACUUGGCAUAUCUUUUGAUACUUUGUGGUUGUUGUUUUAGAGAGAUUUUUUGGUGGUAUUCCUUUGAUGUCUUGAGAAUGAUUAAAUGUUAUAUAGAUUAGCUAUUGUUAUUGGAUUUAUAAAGAACCAAAUUCUAGUUGCAUUGUAA
Arachis ipaensis is the source of this 1253-nucleotide non-coding RNA. Lineage: Eukaryota; Viridiplantae; Streptophyta; Magnoliopsida; Fabales; Fabaceae. The record is from RefSeq and is a predicted model, not a curated record.